UAAGAUUAGUUGCCCAGCACGUUCUUGCAGAUCAAAGGCAUGUUUAUCGUGGGUGUGCGGCCAUGAUGGAAAUAGUGUUUACAUAAACGAACAUGGUAAAAUCAAAUGUGCCCAUAGUGAGAAGAGUGAAGGUAUACACAUAGCUGACGUAUGUCAAUCGGGGUGGACAUGUGGAGACAGUUCUCACAAAGACGAGUACAUCAAAUCGGAUUUCGAUAGUUUUGUGUUUACAGUUUCUGAUGCUUUAAAAUUCAGUAGUAAACAAUCAUCAAGUUGGAUUUUUACGUUAACUUCAUCGUUAGGAAGACAAUUCGGUGUGUGAAUGCAAUACUUAUGCUAAUAACUGGAAACGUUGAAAAAUUCAAAUAAUAACUAAGUUAAUAGUUUAAUAAAAUUGCAUAAUAAAAUACGUACGCCUUUGUUGAUUACACAGUGUU
Long non-coding RNA from Dreissena polymorpha, 437 nucleotides. RefSeq lists it as uncharacterized. The record is from RefSeq and is a predicted model, not a curated record. NCBI's taxonomy places the organism in Eukaryota, Metazoa, Mollusca, Bivalvia, Myida, Dreissenidae. The transcript is spliced from 3 exons.